CCCUUAGAUGUUCUGGGCCGCACGCGCGCUACACUGACGAAUGCAACGAGCUUAUAACCUUGGCCGAAAGGUCUGGGUAAUCUCCAAAUUUCGUCGUGAUGGGGAUAGAUUAUUGCAAUUAUUAAUCUUCAACGAGGAAUGCCUAGUAAGCGCAAGUCAUCAGCUUGCGUUGAUUACGUCCCUGCCCUUUGAACACACCGCCCGUCGCUCCUACCGAUUGAAUGGUCCGGUGAAGCGUUCGGACCGUGGCCUUUGGACGGUUCGCCGUCUGUUGGCUGCGGGAAGUUCGUUAAACCUUAUCAUUUAGAGGAAGGAGAAGUCGUANCA
This 327-nucleotide ribosomal RNA is filed under the name uncultured eukaryote. RNAcentral describes it as "partial 18S ribosomal RNA". It matches the Rfam family "Eukaryotic small subunit ribosomal RNA", at positions 1470 to 1796 of the family's 1831-position model. The record is from RNAcentral.